GGCCGACCCUCAACCCCAUGUCUACCUUCUCUGUUGCUUUGGCGGGCCCGUGGGGAGACCCACCGCCGGCUUCGGCCGGCCUGUGCCCGUCAGAGGACCUCCAAACUCGAUCAACGUGUCGUCUGAGUGUCAUACAAUAGUUAAAACUUUCAACAACGGAUCUCUUGGUUCCGGCAUCGAUGAAGAACGCAGCGAAAUGCGAUAAGUAAUGUGAAUUGCAGAAUUCAGUGAAUCAUCGAAUCUUUGAACGCACAUUGCGCCCCUUGGUAUUCCGAGGGGCAUGCCUGUCCGAGCGUCAUUUCAACCAUCAAGCAUCGCUUGGUAUUGGGUUCUCGCCUGUCCGGCGAGCCCGGAAACCAGUGGCGGUCCCUCGCGGACUCGAGCGUCGUAAACUAAUCACGCUUUGGAGCACGGGAGAUGUGACCAGCCAGAUCACCCCAAUUUAAUCACGGUUGACCUCGGAUCAGGUAGGGAUACCCGCUGAACUUAAGCAUAUCAAUAAGCGGAGGAAAAGAAACCAACAGGGAUUGCCUCAGUAACGGCGAGUGAAGCGGCAACAGCUCAAAUUUGAAAUCUGGCUCUUUCAGGGUCCGAGUUGUAAUUUGUAGAGGAUGCUUCGGGUGCGGCCCGGUCUAAGUUCCUUGGAACAGGACGUCACAGAGGGUGAGAAUCCCGUACGUGAUCGGACGCCAACCCCAUGUGAAGCGCCUUCGACGAGUCGAGUUGUUUGGGAAUGCAGCUCUAAAUGGGUGGUAAAUUUCAUCUAAAGCUAAAUAUUGGCCGGAGACCGAUAGCGCACAAGUAGAGUGAUCGAAAGAUGAAAAGCACUUUG
This 832-nucleotide ribosomal RNA is filed under the name uncultured fungus. Its description in RNAcentral is "eukaryotic LSU rRNA". The stretch from base 454 to 832 matches the Rfam family "Eukaryotic large subunit ribosomal RNA", at positions 1 to 378 of the family's 3401-position model. Lineage: Eukaryota; Fungi. The record is from RNAcentral.